This 194-nucleotide ribosomal RNA is filed under the name uncultured bacterium. RNAcentral's name for it is "partial 16S ribosomal RNA". It matches the Rfam family "Bacterial small subunit ribosomal RNA", at positions 524 to 717 of the family's 1533-position model. The record is from RNAcentral.
UACAGAGGGUGCAAGCGUUAAUCGGAAUUACUGGGCGUAAAGCGCGCGUAGGUGGUUUGUUAAGUUGGAUGUGAAAUCCCCGGGCUCAACCUGGGAACUGCAUUCAAAACUGACUGACUAGAGUGUGGUAGAGGGUGGUGGAAUUUCCUGUGUAGCGGUGAAAUGCGUAGAUAUAGGAAGGAUCUCCAAAGGAG